GUACCCUCAAGCUCUGCUUGGUGUUGGGUGUUUGUCCACUCCCUGCGUUUGGACUCGCCUUAAAGCAAUUGGCAGCCAGUGUUUUGGUAUUGAAGCGCAGCACAUUUUGCGAUUCUAGCCGAUAAUACUUGCGUCCAUAAGCCUUUUUACAC
RNAcentral lists this unclassified non-coding RNA (152 nucleotides) under Septoriella poae. Its description in RNAcentral is "partial internal transcribed spacer 2". The record is from RNAcentral. Lineage: Eukaryota; Fungi; Ascomycota; Dothideomycetes; Pleosporales; Phaeosphaeriaceae.